GGCUCCGUAGCUCAGCCUGGUCAGAGCACUGGACUCUUAAUCCAGGUGUCGCGGGUCCGAAUCCCGUCGGGGCCA
Molecule: transfer RNA, 75 nt
Filed under: archaeon
Lineage: Archaea
Also listed under: 1 other name
Description: tRNA-Lys
Rfam family: tRNA
About the family: Transfer RNA (tRNA) molecules are approximately 80 nucleotides in length.
Source: RNAcentral